RNAcentral lists this ribosomal RNA (486 nucleotides) under uncultured bacterium. RNAcentral's name for it is "bacterial SSU rRNA". It matches the Rfam family "Bacterial small subunit ribosomal RNA", at positions 30 to 508 of the family's 1533-position model. The record is from RNAcentral.
AUUGAACGCUGGCGGCAUGCUUUACACAUGCAAGUCGAACGGCAGCGCGGGGGCAACCCUGGCGGCGAGUGGCGAACGGGUGAGUAAUGCAUCGGAACGUAUCCUGUAAUGGGGGAUAACGUAGCGAAAGUUACGCUAAUACCGCAUACGCUCGGGAGAGGAAAGUGGGGGAUCGCAAGACCUCACGUUACAGGAGCGGCCGAUGUCCGAUUAGCUAGUUGGUGGGGUAAAGGCCUACCAAGGCGACGAUCAGUAGCUGGUCUGAGAGGAUGAUCAGCCACAUUGGGACUGAGAUACGGCCCAGACUCCUACGGGAGGCAGCAGUGAGGAAUUUUGCGCAAUGGGCGAAAGCCUGACGCAGCAACGCCGCGUGACUGAUUAAGCUCUGAGGAGUGUAAAAGUCUGUCGUAGAGGAAGAAACUAUCCGAUAAGAAUAUUGUCGGAUACUACGGUACUCUAAUGAGAAAGCUCCGGCUAACUCCGUCG